Molecule: transfer RNA, 73 nt
Filed under: Holospora obtusa F1
Lineage: Bacteria; Pseudomonadati; Pseudomonadota; Alphaproteobacteria; Holosporales; Holosporaceae
Description: tRNA-Val
Rfam family: tRNA
About the family: Transfer RNA (tRNA) molecules are approximately 80 nucleotides in length. Their secondary structure includes four short double-helical elements and three loops (D, anti-codon, and T loops). Further hydrogen bonds mediate the characteristic L-shaped molecular structure. tRNAs have two regions of fundamental functional importance: the anti-codon, which is responsible for specific mRNA codon recognition, and the 3' end, to which the tRNAs corresponding amino acid is attached (by aminoacyl-tRNA synthetases). tRNAs cope with the degeneracy of the genetic code in two manners: having more than one tRNA (with a specific anti-codon) for a particular amino acid; and 'wobble' base-pairing, i.e. permitting non-standard base-pairing at the 3rd anti-codon position.
Source: RNAcentral
GGGCGAUUAACUCAGUGGUAGAGUGUCUCGUUUACACCGAGAGAGUCGGCGGUUCAAAUCCGUCAUCGCCUAC